UUACCACUUUAGCCAUUUUUAAGUGUACAGUUGAGUGGCAUUAACGUUCUUGUACAUUCGUGUUCUUGUGCAACCAUCACCACCAUCCAUCCCCAGAACUUUUUCAUCAUCCCCGACUGAAAAGGGUUUCAGUUCCCCAGUGAUCACUAACUCCCCCAAACCUUCCUCCCUCCAGCCCCUGACAACUACCCUUCUACUUUCUGUCUCUAUGAAUUUAUAUUUUUUAAGAUAUUAUUUAUGCAUGAGAGACACAGGGAGAGAGAGAAAGAAGGAGGCAAAGGCAAGGAGAAACAGGCUCCCCGUGGAGCUGGGAGCCGGAUGCGGGGCUUGAUCUCAGGACCCUGGGAUCAUGGCCUGAGCCAAAGACAGAUCCUUAAUGGACUGAGCCACCCAGGUGCCCCCAUCUCUAUGAAUCUGACUACCUUAGGGACCUCAUAUAAGUGGAGAUAUACAGUACUUGCCCCUGUGUGUCUUGCUUAGUUCACUUAGCACAAUGUCUUCAAAGCUCACCUGUGAUAUAGCAUGUGGGCUAAGAUGGUUUUUAACUUUAAAAAAAAAUCUUUCCCCUUCAAAAGUACUCAUCUGGAUUUUAAGUAACUCCUGUUUGUAGUUGCCAUUUCAUAGACACUGAUGAGAAUGGGAAGAAGCACUGAAAUGAGAAACCGCUAUCGACAAAUGCCUGUCGUAGCUUACUGGAUGAAAGCAUGCCCCUCCACCCGCCUGCAACUCCAAACCCACACAAUUAUAUUGGUACAACCCAGUGAAGAUUAUCAAUCCUUCCCAAAGCUCUGCCCACAAAGGGUCCCUGCUUAAUCAAGUUUGGGAAACACCAAAUCACCCUCUUGGAGAGCCAAGAGGCACAUGAGCGUAUUAAAAGUCCCGAGAAGUCCUUUGAUGAAGACAUCUGUUGUAGGAUUGGUAACCAAGGUUUCUCAACUGUGUUUGACCAAGGAAUCCUUGAUUGCGUAACACCUACUACUAUCUCUAGGAACACUGUUCCAUGGUACACACUUUGGGAAAUGUUGGUAUGCUGGCUUCUGUUUCUCAAAAACACUUUUACAUCUAUUUUCUCACUUAGUCUUUAUAAAAAUUCUGUCAAGUAGACUGAGAAAUUGAAGGUAAUUUGCUUUACUUAUUGAAAAAGGGGGAAAAAAGCUUUCAAGAUUCAGAACUGCAAGGAAAAUCUCUAGGUGAGGGGAAGGAGCUAGGACAAAUGUCGCCUUGAUUUCCCCUUUCUGCUGAAGGCCCAGUGAUGUAACACACUGUGUCCACCGUCACCACAGCCUCAUGGGUACAUAACACCCUUCCCUUUAACCUCCCGGCACAACACCACACACCUGUUACAACCCACUUCUCCAGGUUCCUCUUAGCAUAGCUGAGAGAGGUGGCAAUUUUUCUCUGUGAUCACAUGAAAUCGACGGGAAAACAAAAUAAACACAGAGAAAGGAAGAAGCAUAAAAUGAGUCUAUCUAAACAAAGUAUGGGUUUCUGCUGCAUCCAUCCCUAACUUGUUCCCAGACUCAAAGGCCCUGUCACUCGCCACCUACCCCCACCUCAGAGAGCUAGUUCAGCUUCCAAGCACCUUGUCUGGAUGCCUCACUUCCUUGCUGCCUGGAAAGCAGGUGUUUCUGGUGAUCCUGUGGGGCUGCUGCCUUAUUUAGGGAUAAUUACUCCUCCGCCCUGGUCUUUGGUGUAAGGCUAUGCUCAUGAAGAGUGGAAAUUCACGAUAUAAGUCAACUGGGUAAGAGAUGGCUCCCAACACAGGUCAUCAGGACUGGUGGCACACCUUUGCAGGUAGGAGAAGGAACUCCCAUCCUUCCUUGGGCCUCAGUCUUUAUGCCUAAACUUUAAGGGAUCUGUUGGGUCCCGCUAAGGAUCAAAAACGCACAGUGCUCCAUGGUGGCACAAUUGGUGUUAAACUGGGGUUUCAUCUACUGAUGAAGCAAAAUAAAACAUAACUUGGAAACCACAUUGACUUGUUAUAGUAACUCUAUUUAUUUCCCCUUUAUUACCCCCAGGUCCCUAGCAGAGUCCUGUUAAAGUGUCCAGGCUUGUCUCAGCUGUGCUAUUAGACAUCGAUGGGCAGUUGUAAAGCCAUACUUGGGCUGAGGUUACAAGGAAGAUACACGCUGGUCUCUGGAGCCAACAUGGCCUGAGUUGCAUGCACUGGUUGGAGAAUGGAAGCCAUAGAAUCUCAGCACCCCUCCUCAAGUGGAGGUUCUCCCCCAUUGCCAAGUCUGAGCAAGACCACAGUUUCUUUACCAAACAAGUCUUGCACCCGCCUCUCCGGAGCUACCCUUCUGGAUACCCAAAUGCCCCCAGCUUCUCAAUGCUUUAGGCAGGAGUUAUCCUCUCCAUGUAGAUGAGGAAACAGGCUCAGGGAGGCUAAAGUCCUUUGCCAGGGUCACAGAGAUUGUCCUAGGAAAGGGGUGAUCAGCACCUAUAGUAAGGGCAAUACAAUGUGGCUGAAUGUCAAACAGGCACAGAAAAAUGAACUAAAAAGAAAUGAAGCAAUCUCCAAGUGAACAGAUGAACAAGAGUCAGUCGGCAGUGAAAAAAUCAAUGAGGCAAAAUGCUCAGCCUGGAAAAGAUCGAUGCGGCAACCGACCAAUGACCCGCAUUCCCACCCGAAUUGACACCCGACCACAUCACAGUCAUGUUUGUGUUUGCCCAAAUCAACUCCUCACUCCACCUGCCAGCACACUGCCCAGGUGCAGAUUCAACCUCCACCCAGGCACCCACCUGACCUAAUCAACUUCUUCAAACAGAGCCAAGAGGUGGCUGAUGGAGUCUGCACACAGAGGCUAUAGAAAGAAGUCCCUGGAACAAGGAGAUAAGGUGACCUUCUGAGAGUUAAUUUAGUAACAAGACAUCUGCACAGCAGUGCCAGGUAUCUGUAGAAGCCACCUUACAGGGGCAAGUUGUCCCGAAAUCACUGCUGAAAGAGCAGGGAAUUGAAGCCCACUCAGGUGACAUGGUUUCUUCCUCCAACAAGAAUAUAACUCAAGAAGGCUGUAAUCUAAAGAGUCAGAAUAAAGAAGAUGUUAACCAACUCUGGGUGGUCGGCCCAGAGCACAAAGCAAAACAGCAAUAACUGCUGGUUUUUAAUCUUACACAAACCAGGGAAAGAGAGAGAGAGCUGUGGUGGCUUCCAGACAUGAUUAUGUGGCUCAACAGGAAGCACACUCCAGGAGUGAUGACAGCUGGCCAUCAGACUUCUCCAAGCAAUGGAUGACAUGGUUCUCAAAAACACUAACCUCCUGGUUCCAAUUUCAUGCUCCCCAGUGAGGCAGCUGACCCCCCACUGAUCCUUUCCCACUGAUAUAACCCCUAACUUUAUUUGGGAGUUCACCCUCCAUCUGGGGCCCCACCUCAGAAGGGGGUUGGGCAUGCCUGGAAUUAGCCAAUGAUUCCUAGCCCCAGUGGUUAAUCAAGGUUGGAUUAAGUCAACCUUCCCCUCUGCCAGGCAUGAGCUCCUAACAUUCACAAGAUUUAAACCUGGCCAACUGGACCACAUGAGAAGCCUGCCAGGUGCUUCAUGUGAAGGAGCACCCCUUGUCCUUACUUGCCUACCACUUGCAGUUGGGUCAACUGUUGCAGACUUCUCCUGACCAAGAGGGGAGACAUCACUGAUAUGCUCACCAUGGCUCAGCAGAGAGGAAAGCGCCAAUGGCUGAAAGCAUCUGAAGGCUGAACACAUCUCACUGACUCACCUAGGACAUCUUCAGGCUACAAGUGUACCCUCUGGAGACCUUGCUGCCAUGAAGGCCAUGAAGGGUGUCUAGGAGGGCAACCACCAUUCUUUCAUUAACUAGAUAGGAGCAGACUCCAUUAAAAUGAAUAAUGUGACAUUUUACCUUAAAUAUCAAUGUCUUAGGGAGUUAGAGUGAGUUAGUCCUGAGAGUCUGUUAAUCUCUGGAUACACUGACAAAGUCAAACCCUGAUCCAUGGUAUCCCACCCUGGGAGCCCCACCCAGAAACCACUGGCUGCCUGCAUGCUGGUGUCACCUCAUUUAAUAGCAAUUGAAGGGAAUAAUGGAGAACACAUGCUACCUUGCAGUCUCCACGCUACAUUACAUCUACUCAAGUCCCUUACCCACUGUCUAGAUUUGUGUCCUUGUCUGUAAACAAACAUAUCUUUCUGACCUACAUCACCAUAUUUUUGAAAGAGUGAAAGAAAAUCAAUAUGAAAAAUACAAAGUGAUAUAUAAAGCAUGGAAUUUUGAAUAAGAAGAAAAUCAUCUCAACUUACUGUGCAUCAGAAUCACUGGGGGAGCUUUUUAAAAAGCACAGAUCCCACCUCCAGAAACUCUCAUUCAAAGGAUGGGGGAUAGACAUCCGUGUUUUUCAAAAAGCAGUAAUUAUUCAAAAUUAACUAUAAAGUAAUUAUUAAAAUGUAGCUUUUUAAAAAAGCAAUAAUCAUUUUCUUCCCAGGUGAUUAUUCUAAUAUGUGGCCAGAGUAGAUGAGAACCACUGAUAGCAGGAUCCUGUCAUGUGCAG
Molecule: long non-coding RNA, 4500 nt
Filed under: Canis lupus familiaris (dog)
Lineage: Eukaryota; Metazoa; Chordata; Mammalia; Carnivora; Canidae
Description: lncRNA (ENSCAFG00000050936.1)
Source: RNAcentral